UACGUAGGGUGCGAGCGUUGUCCGGAAUUAUUGGGCGUAAAGAGCUUGUAGGCGGUUUGUCGCGUCUGCUGUGAAAAUCCGGGGCUCAACCCCGGACUUGCAGUGGGUACGGGCAGACUAGAGUGUGGUAGGGGAGACUGGAAUUCCUGGUGUAGCGGUGAAAUGCGCAGAUAUCAGGAGGAACACCGAUGGCGAAGGAAGGUCUCUGGGCCACUACUGACGCUGAGAAGCGAAAGCAUGGGGAGCGAACAGGAUUAGAUACCCGCGUA
RNAcentral lists this ribosomal RNA (269 nucleotides) under uncultured prokaryote. Its description in RNAcentral is "partial 16S ribosomal RNA". It matches the Rfam family "Bacterial small subunit ribosomal RNA", at positions 524 to 792 of the family's 1533-position model. The record is from RNAcentral.